Long non-coding RNA from Zingiber officinale, 829 nucleotides. RefSeq lists it as uncharacterized. Lineage: Eukaryota; Viridiplantae; Streptophyta; Magnoliopsida; Zingiberales; Zingiberaceae. The record is from RefSeq and is a predicted model, not a curated record. The transcript has 3 exons.
UACAAAUCCACACCUAACUCUAGCCCUAACAUUCAUGCCAAAACUCCUCCAUGUGAGUCAUUGCUCAAAAGGCAGAAAGCUCUUCUCUGCUCUUUGUUGCUGCCUUAUCUCCUCAUCCUUUUUAAUACCAUAAACCUGCCUUCCUAUGUCUCUCUGAGUUGAAGCAUGGAAAAAACUGCAGCUCGCAAUCUGUUCUUUAGCUAUUUAUCAGUGCCGCCGUCUUCCACACCUGUAAAGGUGCAUGCAGUACCCAUAGCUUUGUUUGCUAUCACCAACAUGGCAAGAAGCUGGAGCAAUGGUCAAAGGAUGCUUGUCUUUCAUGCUCAUGCCCUCUUCUCUUUCCCUGUGUUUGCUCUACCAAGUGCUUCUCGCUAGCUUUGCAUUGGCGUUAUCUCAGCUGAGCUUCUCUCAUCCCUCUUCACCUUUGUCCUUUUUUUUUUUUGUUUUCCAAUUUUUUUGAGUUGAUUGUUCUUGACCUUGUAAGACCUUUUCUUGACCUUGUAAGACCCAAUUCUCCAUUUAUCUCUCUUGCCUCACUCUCCCCCAUGAGUGAGUCAAUGCGAACUAUAUUUCUCCCUUCUCGCCCUCCUCUUGCCCACCUCUUUUCUCUAUCCCUCCUGAGCUGCACUUCCAUGUGUAUUUCAUUUGUUUUCAUGAGAAUAAAGUUGAUCUCCAACACUCGUGUAAUUGCUUAUGCGUGCUUAUUGUAAUCAGUGGAAAUGUGUCUUGUAAUUGCAGGCAUCAGCUUGCUUCGUUUGACUUGUUAAUUAAGUAUGUUCUGUGUGUGCAGAGUAUAUCAUUCUUCCUUGACCCAUGGAGAUGUAUAAAA